This 707-nucleotide ribosomal RNA is filed under the name Pseudomonas aeruginosa. RNAcentral describes it as "bacterial LSU rRNA". It matches the Rfam family "Bacterial large subunit ribosomal RNA", at positions 2238 to 2925 of the family's 2925-position model. Lineage: Bacteria; Pseudomonadati; Pseudomonadota; Gammaproteobacteria; Pseudomonadales; Pseudomonadaceae. The record is from RNAcentral.
AUCCGGAUCGAGGACAGUGUAUGGUGGGCAGUUUGACUGGGGCGGUCUCCUCCUAAAGAGUAACGGAGGAGUACGAAGGUGCGCUCAGACCGGUCGGAAAUCGGUCGUAGAGUAUAAAGGCAAAAGCGCGCUUGACUGCGAGACAGACACGUCGAGCAGGUACGAAAGUAGGUCUUAGUGAUCCGGUGGUUCUGUAUGGAAGGGCCAUCGCUCAACGGAUAAAAGGUACUCCGGGGAUAACAGGCUGAUACCGCCCAAGAGUUCAUAUCGACGGCGGUGUUUGGCACCUCGAUGUCGGCUCAUCACAUCCUGGGGCUGAAGCCGGUCCCAAGGGUAUGGCUGUUCGCCAUUUAAAGUGGUACGCGAGCUGGGUUUAGAACGUCGUGAGACAGUUCGGUCCCUAUCUGCCGUGGACGUUUGAGAUUUGAGAGGGGCUGCUCCUAGUACGAGAGGACCGGAGUGGACGAACCUCUGGUGUUCCGGUUGUCACGCCAGUGGCAUUGCCGGGUAGCUAUGUUCGGAAAAGAUAACCGCUGAAAGCAUCUAAGCGGGAAACUUGCCUCAAGAUGAGAUCUCACUGGGAACUUGAUUCCCCUGAAGGGCCGUCGAAGACUACGACGUUGAUAGGCUGGGUGUGUAAGCGUUGUGAGGCGUUGAGCUAACCAGUACUAAUUGCCCGUGAGGCUUGACCAUAUAACACCCAAACA